GUAGGGAAUAUUGCGCAAUGGGGGAAACCCUGACGCAGCAACGCCGCGUGGAGGAUGAAGGCCUUCGGGUCGUAAACUCCUGUCAGAUGGGACGAAACAGCUAUCGGCGAAAUACCGGUGGCCUUGACGGUACCAUCAGAGGAAGCCCCGGCUAACUCCGUGCCAGCAGCCGCGGUAAUACGGAGGGGGCAAGCGUUAUUCGGAAUUAUUGGGCGUAAAGGGCGCGUAGGCGGCUUGACAAGUCAAAGGUGAAAUCCCUCGGCCUAACCGAGGAACUGCCUUUGAAACUGUCAGGCUUGAGGCCGGGAGAGGGUAGUGGAAUUCCCAGUGUAGCGGUGAAAUGCGUAGAUAUUGGGAGGAACACCAGUGGCGAAGGCGACUACCUGGACCGGUUCUGACGCUGAGGCGCGAAAGCGUGGGGAGCAAACAGG
Molecule: ribosomal RNA, 431 nt
Filed under: uncultured bacterium
Lineage: Bacteria
Description: bacterial SSU rRNA
Rfam family: Bacterial small subunit ribosomal RNA
Source: RNAcentral